Molecule: ribosomal RNA, 433 nt
Filed under: uncultured bacterium
Lineage: Bacteria
Description: partial 16S ribosomal RNA
Rfam family: Bacterial small subunit ribosomal RNA
Source: RNAcentral
GACGAACGCUGGCGGCAGGCCUAACACAUGCAAGUCGAGCGAAGACGUCGGGCCUUGCGGCGGUCGGGGGGGGACCACGGGGGGACUUGCCCUUUGCUUCGCAAUCGCCCUGGGAGACUGAGCUUCAUACAGGAGGAGCCCUUUGGGGGUAGGAUUUAUCGGCGCAGGAUCGGGGCGCGUUGGAUUCGGUGGUUGGUGGGGUAAUGGCAUGCCAAGACGUCGAUGCAUAGCUGGUUGGAGAAGAGGAUCAGCCACACUGGGACUGAGACACGGACCAGACUGGUACGGGAGGCAGCAGAGGGGAAUCUUAGACAAGGGGGGAAACUCUGAUCAAGCCAUGCCGGGGGAGCGAUGAAGGCCGUAGGGUUGUAAAGCUCUUUCAGCUGGGAAGAGAAUGACGGUACCAGCAGAAGAAGCCCCGGCUAACUACGUG